This 253-nucleotide ribosomal RNA is filed under the name uncultured bacterium. Its description in RNAcentral is "partial 16S ribosomal RNA". It matches the Rfam family "Bacterial small subunit ribosomal RNA", at positions 524 to 776 of the family's 1533-position model. The record is from RNAcentral.
UACGGAGGGUGCAAGCGUUAUCCGGAUUUACUGGGCUUAAAGGGUGCGUAGGCGGACUUUUAAGUCAGGGGUGAAAUCCCGGGGCUCAACCCCGGAACUGCCUUUGAUACUAUUGGUCUUGAAUGUUGUGGAGGUGGGCGGAACGGGUCAUGUAGCGGUGAAAUGCAUAGAUAUGACCCGGAACACCGACUGCGAAGGCAGCCCGCUACGCAACGAUUGACGCUGAGGCACGAAAGCGUGGGGAUCAAACAGG